GAUCUGAAGGAAUACCGGUGGCGAAGGCGGCCCCCUGGACAGAUACUGACACUCAGAUGCGAAAGCGUGGGGAGCAAACAGGAUUAGAUACCCUGGUAGUCCACGCCGUAAACGAUGUCUACUUGGAGGUUGUGCCCUAGAGGGGUGGCUUUCGGAGCUAACGCGUUAAGUAGACCGCCUGGGGAGUACGGUCGCAAGAUUAAAACUCAAAUG
RNAcentral lists this ribosomal RNA (213 nucleotides) under Vibrio cholerae. RNAcentral's name for it is "partial 16S ribosomal RNA". It matches the Rfam family "Bacterial small subunit ribosomal RNA", at positions 695 to 907 of the family's 1533-position model. The record is from RNAcentral. Lineage: Bacteria; Pseudomonadati; Pseudomonadota; Gammaproteobacteria; Vibrionales; Vibrionaceae.